RNAcentral lists this ribosomal RNA (294 nucleotides) under uncultured bacterium. RNAcentral's name for it is "partial 16S ribosomal RNA". It matches the Rfam family "Bacterial small subunit ribosomal RNA", at positions 62 to 353 of the family's 1533-position model. The record is from RNAcentral.
UCGAACGAUGAAACCGCCCUCGGGCGGACAUGAAGUGGCGAACGGGUGAGUAACACGUGACCAACCUGCCCCCCUAUCCGGGACAACCUUGGGAAACCGAGGCUAAUACCGGAUACUCCCUCCCCUGCUCCUGCAGGGGUCGGGAAAGCCCAGGCGGAGGGGGAUGGGGUCGCGGCCCAUUAGGUAGUAGGCGGGGUAACGGCCCACCUAGCCCGCGAUGGGUAGCCGGGUUGAGAGACCGACCGGCCACAUUGGGACUGAGAUACGGCCCAGACUCCUACGGGAGGCAGCAUG